Molecule: ribosomal RNA, 536 nt
Filed under: uncultured Roseobacter NAC11-12
Lineage: Bacteria; Pseudomonadati; Pseudomonadota; Alphaproteobacteria; Rhodobacterales; Roseobacteraceae
Description: bacterial SSU rRNA
Rfam family: Bacterial small subunit ribosomal RNA
Source: RNAcentral
AGGCCUACACAUGCAAGUCGAGCGCGCCUUUCGGGGUGAGCGGCGGACGGGUUAGUAACGCGUGGGAACGUACCCUUUUCUGCGGAAUAGCCUCUGGAAACGGAGAGUAAUACCGCAUACGCCCUUUGGGGGAAAGAUUUAUCGGAGAAGGAUCGGCCCGCGUUAGAUUAGAUAGUUGGUGGGGUAACGGCUUACCAAGUCUACGAUCUAUAGCUGGUUUUAGAGGAUGAUCAGCAACACUGGGACUGAGACACGGCCCAGACUCCUACGGGAGGCAGCAGUGGGGAAUCUUGGACAAUGGGCGCAAGCCUGAUCCAGCCAUGCCGCGUGAGUGAAGAAGGCCUUAGGGUCGUAAAGCUCUUUCGCCUGUGAUGAUAAUGACAGUAGCAGGUAAAGAAACCCCGGCUAACUCCGUGCCAGCAGCCGCGGUAAUACGGAGGGGGUUAAGCGUUGUUCGGAAUUACUGGGCGUAAAAGCGCGCGUAGGCGGAUUGGAAAGUUGGGGGUGAAAUCCCGAGGCUCAACCUCGGAACUGCU